This is a long non-coding RNA of Chelonia mydas (Green sea turtle), 105 nucleotides long. RefSeq lists it as uncharacterized. The record is from RefSeq and is a predicted model, not a curated record. Lineage: Eukaryota; Metazoa; Chordata; Testudines; Cheloniidae. The transcript is spliced from 3 exons.
UUCUAACUCAAAGGUAUCUGAGUGAAAUUUAAUGACCUGUGUUAUAGAGGAGGUCAGACUAGAUGAUCUAAUGGUCCCUUCUGUCCUUAAAAGUUUAUGAAACUA